UUGAAUUGAAGUCGGAUAUGGGCUAAAUAGGGUUUAUAGGUGUCAAAGGAUAGGUUUAUGAAAGAAGGCUAAUUAUUUGUAUGAGGUUCGGCUAUGAAAGAAAAGGAAACUCAGUGUUUGAAUUUAGAAUGAUAACUUGAGAACAAGAGUGAACCAAUACUUCGUUUGAAGAUUGACCCAAAACUUAUAGGUUCUUAAGUUGAUAGGAGAUGGAUUGGAAAACCUCGACCCACUAUCUAUAAUAGAUA
RNAcentral lists this long non-coding RNA (248 nucleotides) under Gossypium barbadense (sea-island cotton). RNAcentral's name for it is "long non-coding RNA (GBAR_LNC022943)". Lineage: Eukaryota; Viridiplantae; Streptophyta; Magnoliopsida; Malvales; Malvaceae. The record is from RNAcentral.